UUUUUGCUUAGAUUUCCCAAUCCUCAUCUUCAUGAUAAUUGAUUACCCUUAAUUAAGAGAAACAUUAAUUAUGAGUAAUCAAUCACAUCAGGAAGAUGAAGAUUCAUCUUUGUGGUUUGAUUUCCGGCUUUGUAGCGCCGAAUUUGGGUAGCUUCGAAUUCAUCUCCUUGAUGAAUUGAUGAUCCUUAAUUAAGGGAAACAUUAAUUAAGAGUACUCAAUUAAUCAGGAGGAAGAACAUAAGUUUUUUUGGGUUGAUUUCUGGCUAUGUAGUUUCGAAUUGGGCUAGGUAAUUGAGCAGACGUCGAUCUUGCCUCACCCACACAAUUAUGUGAUUCCAGUAAUGGCUUGAGUAAGACAGGGGCAGCAGCCGACUGUUGAGUAUCACAUUGUCCCGCAACAAAAACUCCGGUUAGUUGUUCAGUUUAGAGUGUGUUCUAAAGGCCUCUAUAUAUUGUAUAAAUUAUUCUGAAAUUCUUAAAUUUACAGAAUAUGCAUGCCCAUUUGAUUAUGUUGCUAGAUUA
Long non-coding RNA from Spinacia oleracea (spinach), 522 nucleotides. RefSeq lists it as uncharacterized. NCBI's taxonomy places the organism in Eukaryota, Viridiplantae, Streptophyta, Magnoliopsida, Caryophyllales, Amaranthaceae. The record is from RefSeq and is a predicted model, not a curated record. The transcript is spliced from 2 exons.